RNAcentral lists this ribosomal RNA (506 nucleotides) under uncultured bacterium. Its description in RNAcentral is "partial 16S ribosomal RNA". It matches the Rfam family "Bacterial small subunit ribosomal RNA", at positions 29 to 523 of the family's 1533-position model. The record is from RNAcentral.
AGUGAACGCUGGCGGUAGGCCUAACACAUGCAAGUCGAACGGCAGCACAGGAGAGCUUGCUCUCUGGGUGGCGAGUGGCGGACGGGUGAGGAAUACAUCGGAAUCUACUUUUUCGUGGGGGAUAACGUAGGGAAACUUACGCUAAUACCGCAUACGACCUACGGGUGAAAGCAGGGGACCUUCGGGCCUUGCGCGAUUGAAUGAGCCGAUGUCGGAUUAGCUAGUUGGCGGGGUAAAGGCCCACCAAGGCGACGAUCCGUAGCUGGUCUGAGAGGAUGGUCAGCCACGCGGGAACUGAGACACGGUCCAGACUCCUACGGGAGGCAGCAGUGGGGAAUAUUGGACAAUGGGCGCAAGCCUGAUCCAGCCAUACCGCGUGGGGGAAGAAGGCCUUCGGGUUGUAAAGCCCUUUUGUUGGGAAAGAAAUCCAGCUGGCUAAUACCCGGUUGGGAUGACGGUACCCAAAGAAUAAGCACCGGCUAACUUCGUGCCAGCCGCCGCGGUAA